AGUGGCGGACGGGUGAGUAACGCGUGAGAAUCUGCCUUGGGGUCGGGGACAACCACUGGAAACGGUGGCUAAUACCGGAUAAGCCGAUUGGUGAAAGAUUUAUUGCCCGAAGAGGAGCUCGCGUCUGAUUAGCUAGUUGGUGAGGUAAGAGCUCACCAAGGCAGCGAUCAGUAGCUGGUCUGAGAGGACGAUCAGCCACACUGGGACUGAGACACGGCCCAGACUCCUACGGGAGGCAGCAGUGGGGAAUUUUCCGCAAUGGGCGAAAGCCUGACGGAGCAAGACCGCGUGAGGGAGGAAGGCUCUUGGGUUGUAAACCUCUUUUCUCAGGGAAGAAGCUCUGACGGUACCUGAGGAGUCAGCCUCGGCUAACUCCGUGCCAGCAGCCGCGGUAAUACGGAGGAGGCAAGCGUUAUCCGGAAUUAUUGGGCGUAAAGCGUCCGCAGGUGGCGAUUCAAGUCUGCUGUCAAAGCACGGGGCUUAACUCCGUAAAGGCAGUGGAAACUGAAUAGCUAGAGUGCCGUAGGGGUAGAGGGAAUUCCCGGUGUAGCGGUGAAAUGCGUAGAGAUCGGGAAGAACAUCGGUGGCGAAAGCGCUCUACUGGACGGCAACUGACACUCAGGGACGAAAGCUAGGGGAGCGAAUGGGAUUAGAUACCCC
Molecule: ribosomal RNA, 660 nt
Filed under: uncultured bacterium
Lineage: Bacteria
Description: bacterial SSU rRNA
Rfam family: Bacterial small subunit ribosomal RNA
Source: RNAcentral